UACGUAGGGGGCGAGCGUUGUCCGGAAUCAUUGGGCGUAAAGCGCGCGUAGGCGGUGCAGUACGUCGGCCGUGAAAGCGCCGGGCUCAACUCGGCGAGGUCGGGCGAGACGGCUGGGCUAGAGGCCGGUAGAGGGUCGUGGAAUUCCGGGUGUAGUGGUGGAAUGCGUAGAGCUCCGGAGGAACACCAGAGGCGAAGGCGGCGGCCUGGGCCGGACCUGACGCUGAGGCGCGAAAGCGUGGGGAGCGAUCCGG
Molecule: ribosomal RNA, 253 nt
Filed under: uncultured bacterium
Lineage: Bacteria
Description: partial 16S ribosomal RNA
Rfam family: Bacterial small subunit ribosomal RNA
Source: RNAcentral